Non-coding RNA from Chelonia mydas (Green sea turtle), 788 nucleotides. The record is from the annotation of a RefSeq genome assembly. Lineage: Eukaryota; Metazoa; Chordata; Testudines; Cheloniidae.
UCAGGGAUUUACUGGGCUGCGCUCCCAUCCCACCACCAUGCUGGGCCCGCUGAGAAUCUGCAUUCUCCUGGUUGGACUCUCAUGGGCCCGAGCACAGGUGGUUCUGACCCAGUCCAGCCCGGAGAUUAAGAAACCCGGGGAACCCACUAAACUGACCUGUACCGUGAGCGGCUUUGCUCUCAGCAGCCAUGGUAUGAACUGGGUCCGGCAGGCUCCGGGAAGGGGGCUGGAGUGGCUGAUCUACUAUUAUUCCUCCUCCAGCAGCAGCUACUCCCCGGCAGCCCAGGGGCGAUUCACAGCCUCCAAGGACAGCUCCAGCGUCUACCUACACAGGAGCAGCCUGAAGCCCGAGGACACCGCGGUGUAUCCCUGGGCGAGGGACACAGUGAGGGGAAGCCGGUCUGGGCUCAGACACAAACCGCCCCGGUGCUAGUUUAAAAAGAAGCCCCCAGCAGGUGGCGCUCCGGAGCUACACGCAGCAAGGGGCCCAUGGCCGCAAAGACACUCAGACCUGGACCGGCUGGUCUCCCCCCUUUGUCCUCCUCUCCCUGCAUCCACAAGACUGACAUAAUCGUUUAACCAAAUGCAGCAAAAGGAGCCGGAUUGUCUCUCUCCUGCGGCUUGUCUUCCUUUGCCUCAAACAAACCCAGGCUGGGAAAGGAAAACAGUUAAGCGCUAAUUAGUACGUGUCAUUUAUUUGCUUCUCUCCGGCAUGAGGGUGGAGCUGCUUCUACUGCUCCCAAUGAAGUCAAUUGUUAUUUAUUAUUCUGUAUGAUGCCCCUAGGAGU